CNCCUCAAAGCAAUACACUGAAAAUGUUUAGACGGGCUCACAUCACCNCAUAAACA
Molecule: transfer RNA, 56 nt
Filed under: Homo sapiens neanderthalensis (Neandertal)
Lineage: Eukaryota; Metazoa; Chordata; Mammalia; Primates; Hominidae
Description: partial tRNA-Phe
Source: RNAcentral